RNAcentral lists this ribosomal RNA (468 nucleotides) under uncultured bacterium. RNAcentral's name for it is "partial 16S ribosomal RNA". It matches the Rfam family "Bacterial small subunit ribosomal RNA", at positions 28 to 507 of the family's 1533-position model. The record is from RNAcentral.
GACGAACGCUGGCGGCGUGCUUAACACAUACAAGUCGAACGGAAAGGCCCUGCUUUUGUGGGGUGCUCGAGUGGCGAACGGGUGAGUAACACGUGAGUAACCUGCCCUUGACUUUGGGAUAACUUCAGGAAACUGGGGCUAAUACCGGAUAGGAGCUCCUGCUGCAUGGUGGGGGUUGGAAAGUUUCGGCGGUUGGGGAUGGACUCGCGGCUUAUCAGCUUGUUGGUGGGGUAGUGGCUUACCAAGGCUUUGACGGGUAGCCGGCCUGAGAGGGUGACCGGCCACAUUGGGACUGAGAUACGGCCCAGACUCCUACGGGAGGCAGCAGUGGGGAAUAUUGCACAAUGGGCGGAAGCCUGAUGCAGCAACGCCGCGUACGGGAUGACGGCCUUCGGGUUGUAAACCGCUUUCGCCUGUGACGAAGCGUGAGUGACGGUAAUGGGUAAAGAAGCACCGGCUAACUACGUG